RNAcentral lists this ribosomal RNA (433 nucleotides) under uncultured bacterium. RNAcentral's name for it is "partial 16S ribosomal RNA". It matches the Rfam family "Bacterial small subunit ribosomal RNA", at positions 29 to 507 of the family's 1533-position model. The record is from RNAcentral.
AACGAACGCUGGCGGCAUGCCUAACACAUGCAAGUCGAACGAGACCGUCGGGUCUAUUUGCGCACCGGUGCGUAACGCCUGGUAACCUGCCCGUAGGUUCGGAAUAACUCACCGAGAGGUGUGCUAAUACCGCUGAAUGUCUUCCCACCUAGGAUCUAUCGCCUUUGGAUGGGGCCGCGUUGGAUUCGCUAGUUGGUAGGGUAAAAGCCUACCAAGGCGACGAUCCAUAGCUGGUCUGAGAGGAUGCUCAGCCAGAAUGGGACUGAGACACGGCCCAGAAUCAUACGGGAGGGAGCAGUGGGGAAUACUGGGCGAUGGGAGAAAGUCUGGUCCCGCAGUGUGGGGUGAGUGAUGAAGGGCUUAGGGUUGUAAAGCUCUUUUACCCGGGAUGAUAAUGACAGUACCGGGAGAAUAAGCACCGGCUAACUCCGUG